UCCUCUUCUUCCCUCUCCGCCGCCUAGGUUAGCCCCACGCGCCUCGCUGUCGCCCUGCCCACCAUGACCCGAGCGAGCAAGAGCUCAAGCUCGGGGUAGCCGUCCACGUCACGCCUCCGACCCACCUGUUGCCGUCGAGAGGACCGUCAAGUACCUCUCUGCCCUCUUCUGCACGCACGCACCUCUACAGCCCUGGAUCGACUACCACAACGACAUCUUCUCCCUCUGCUUCGCGGACAGCAGCCCCACCAAGUUCAGCGCUCCCUUGCGUCAUCUCCGGCUCGUCUCCGUCGACCCCAUCGUGUCCUAGGGUGAGCUGAUGGCACUCUUGGACUUCCAAGUUGAGGCCAGGUUCUGAUGUGGACAUAGCUAUCAUAGAAACGUCUACAAAUAUUACAUCACAAAUUAUUAACCAGGAAUAAAAGAAUAAAAGAAGCAAGAGACUACUAUGCCUUAAAACCAGAUGGAGCAAUCCAUGCAUGCAUGCGCUCCAUCAUCCUUGCAUGCAUGCCCGCCGAACCAUCCAUUACACCCCAUCCAUCAUCGAUGUCACGUGGAGUGCACAGGAAACAAAGGCCUUUUGAUUUGAAUCCGUUGAUCAGUAUCAGCGACUUGGGCCAUGUAUUGUGGGCUGCGCCAAGUCUCCUCACGUCAGGGCCUGCAGCUUCGGCCUUUGUACUGUCCAACUCGUGCACAACUUCCUUCGAUCAGCAGACCGGCUGGAACACAUCUACGUACUCGUUUGCGUUUGUACCUCUUUAAUAAAUAGCUAGUCUAGGUUAGGGUUUAGACUUGGGUUUUGUUUAGAGAAGUUUAGCUAUUGCUACUUUUAUUUGUCUUCGCUCGUAGAGGCUAGUGCGACCGUCAAGACAUCCUAUCGGAACCCCAUCU
Long non-coding RNA from Triticum dicoccoides, 891 nucleotides. RefSeq lists it as uncharacterized. The record is from RefSeq and is a predicted model, not a curated record. The transcript has 3 exons. NCBI's taxonomy places the organism in Eukaryota, Viridiplantae, Streptophyta, Magnoliopsida, Poales, Poaceae.